This 376-nucleotide long non-coding RNA is filed under the name Homo sapiens (human). RNAcentral's name for it is "non-protein coding NPSR1-AS1:14". Lineage: Eukaryota; Metazoa; Chordata; Mammalia; Primates; Hominidae. The record is from RNAcentral.
UCUAGGACUCAGAAAUAUAGAUGUUAGUAAGAGCAAACAGACAUAACAGAUAACACAUACAAAGUGCCUACCACAUGCUAACCACUGCUGCAGGCACUUUCUAUAGAAGAACUAAUUUAAUCAUCACCAUAACCCUAUGGGGUAGAUGAUAUUUUUACAACCUCCAUUUUACAGAUGAAGAAACUGAAGCAUAGACCUGCUUAUGUGAGAAGAAACGCAGGGAGACAGUUCAGUCACUGCAAUCUUCAUGCCCAUCAGUUUCUUGUGAGAAGAAAACAAGUGGAUAUACACUGUUCCAAGCAGCAUGUGUUGAAAAGAUUUGUCUUUUCCCCAUUAAAUGGUCUUGGUACCUUUCUCAAAAAUUGACCAUAUAUGA